Mus caroli (Ryukyu mouse) is the source of this 474-nucleotide non-coding RNA. The record is from the annotation of a RefSeq genome assembly. Lineage: Eukaryota; Metazoa; Chordata; Mammalia; Rodentia; Muridae.
AUGGAUAUCUGGCUUCUAGGUUGGAUAAUUUUUAGUUUCUUGGAAGCAGGACACACAGGACCCAAAGUCUUACAGAUCCCAAGUCAUCAAGUAGUAGAUAUGGGGCAGAUGGUGACCCUCAAUUGUGACCCAGUUUCUAAUCACCAAUAUUUCUAUUGGUAUAAACAGAUUUUAGGACAGCAGAUGGAGUUUCUGGUUAAUUUCUACAAUGGUAAAGUCAUGGAGAAGUCUAAACUGUUUAAGGAUCAGUUUUCAGUUGAAAGACCAGAUGAUUCAUAUUUCACUCUGAAAAUCCAACCCACAACACUGGAGGACUCAGCCAUGUACUUCUGUGCCAGCAGCUUAGCCACAGCCUUGAAAAAACACUGUCUUCCUGUACACAAACUCUUAUGUGUCUGCCUCUUUCCUAACACCCUGUCUUCCCCAGGAGAAGGAAGUCUACAUGACUAUUUUUUAAUUGCAGUUCUGUUUUGA